This 281-nucleotide ribosomal RNA is filed under the name Citrobacter rodentium. RNAcentral's name for it is "partial 23S ribosomal RNA". It matches the Rfam family "Bacterial large subunit ribosomal RNA", at positions 911 to 1190 of the family's 2925-position model. Lineage: Bacteria; Pseudomonadati; Pseudomonadota; Gammaproteobacteria; Enterobacterales; Enterobacteriaceae. The record is from RNAcentral.
UGUUUCGGCUAGGGGGCCAUCCCGGCUUACCAACCCGAUGCAAACUGCGAAUACCGGAGAAUGUUAUCACGGGAGACACACGGCGGGUGCUAACGUCCGUCGUGAAGAGGGAAACAACCCAGACCGCCAGCUAAGGUCCCAAAGUCAUGGUUAAGUGGGAAACGAUGUGGGAAGGCUCAGACAGCCAGGAUGUUGGCUUAGAAGCAGCCAUCAUUUAAAGAAAGCGUAAUAGCUCACUGGUCGAGUCGGCCUGCGCGGAAGAUGUAACGGGGCUAAACCAU